RNA transcript from Synchiropus splendidus (mandarinfish), 1696 nucleotides. It is a transcript of the gene named ankyrin repeat and SOCS box containing 11, with no coding region annotated. The transcript has 3 exons. The record is from RefSeq and is a predicted model, not a curated record. NCBI's taxonomy places the organism in Eukaryota, Metazoa, Chordata, Actinopteri, Syngnathiformes, Callionymidae.
AGUCCGUCUCUCUCGGAUCCGAACGGUUCACUCUCCGCCUGGGAUGGAAAACCCUCGCUGCUUCGCCAACCGCUUCUCCGACUACCGCGGCUCUCUGCUCCCGGGUCAGGGCGCCGAGGUGGUGGUACCGGCCGUUGUCUCCACCGUCGACAGAAUCCUGAAGAAGGUUCCGCUGAACCUGAGCGACUACGACGGAGGCUUGUACGAUGGGCCGGCCGGGGUGGCUUACAUGCUGUACCACGUCAGCGAGUGCUCGCUCUUCUCCGAGCAGAGGGACGCGUACCUGAAGACGGCCAAGAGCAUCAUCGACGCGUCGGUGAAAUACGUGGACGCGGAACCGGACAAGAACAUGCGGGCCGCCUUCCUGCUGGGCGGGACUGGGAUCUACGCGGUGGCUGCGAUGAUCUACAAGGCGAUGGGCUUGGCGGACUUCGUCAGACCCCUGACCAAAUUUCGGAACCUGUGGGAGGUUUGCGCGCCCAUCAAUUUCUUGGAGUGCGGUUCCGAUGAGCUCUUCGUGGGUCGUGCUGGGUACCUGUGCGCCGCGCUGGUCCUCAAGCAGAAGCUGGGCAUAGAGAUUCUGAGCAAAGACCAGAUCAAAUCCAUUUGCCAGGCCAUCAUUGAAUCGGGAAAGCAGUACGCCAGAAGGAAGAGGAAACCCUUCCCGCUCAUGUACUCCUACUACGGCACGGAGUACCUGGGUGAGCAAGACGAGUUCUUUGAUGAUACGUCAGAGAGGUUUUGUGAUACAGAAGUGGUGUGUCAUCAUGUGUGUAGCUAACUGUCCUCUCCUUGACUGCAUCAGAUGAAGUUGGAGAUCCUCAGUACAGUUCAUCGUAAGCCCGGCUCUGCAUGGAUACUAAACCAUCAGGGUGGAACAUCACGGUUCCCUGCAGAGACAGGGGUUUUGGACCAACUAAAGGGGCCAUAGAAUGACUCAUACAUUUUUUGUCAUCAUAGGAUUGGAAUAGACCCAAGUUUAGUUUGAAAAUACACAUUGUUUCUGAAGCUGAUGCGUCAGGAUAUGGACGCGAACUCAUUCUGUGGGCCCUUUACGACUGAAGUUGAGUAGUUGCAUGUCAGUCUGAAGCAAACAGCAGGAGAUGAAGUGGACGCACACAAGGAGGCUGCAUGCGUCUCGUCUAUGGUUUCUUCCUUCAAGUAGUGAAACAAAACUGAGAUGUAAGCACUGAGUUUCCGGCAUGAAUCUAUAAAGGCCCCGCCCCAAACUGACUUCAGGCCAUUCUGCGAACGACCACUGACACCCCCUGCACUUUUCUAAUCAACAGAGGGCUGUGGUCUGGAGACGCCGCUACACGCUGCCGCUGGCGCAGGAGACCCCAGUGUGGUGGAUCUCCUGCUGGAGUUUGGAGCUGGUGAGUGUUGCAAGAACGCCGACGGGAAGACUCCUCUGGGUCUGACGCAACCGAACACCGCAGUGAGAGCGACGCUACAAUCCAGAGGCCCUGGCUCUCUCUUCCAGCUGUGCCGCCUCGGCAUCCGCAGAAGUCUGGGAAGGAGUCGCUUCCAAAAAGCCUCAAGUCUCUUUCUCCCUGACAGUAUCACUGACUUCAUCCUGUAUCGAUGAAACAUUUCUUUCGACAUGUUUUUGAAGAAGUUAUUUUUGUAUUGCUGUAAAUAUACUUUGUCAAGUUUUUGUACAUUUUUUAUGUGGAAAUAGUUUUUACAGUUUUGA